UAGAAAGUUGGUACUGAGAAAUCCUUGCUGGU
RNAcentral lists this non-coding RNA (32 nucleotides) under Mus musculus (house mouse). Lineage: Eukaryota; Metazoa; Chordata; Mammalia; Rodentia; Muridae. The record is from RNAcentral.